Molecule: ribosomal RNA, 1295 nt
Filed under: Triticum aestivum (bread wheat)
Lineage: Eukaryota; Viridiplantae; Streptophyta; Magnoliopsida; Poales; Poaceae
Description: partial small subunit ribosomal RNA
Source: RNAcentral
CAAAAAGAAACGGAAUAGGGCCGCAUGGCGACGACGGUGAGGGAGAAGGUGUCGGUGAGUAAGGUGACACUCCCUCCUAAGGCUGGCUCUUUAGGUGGCAAGUCCAGGCAGCGGCCGCCGUUCUGUCCUCGACAUAUCGCGGCAGGCAGAGACUACGCGAAGCGGCGGGCCUCGACAGUGCCGAUCGCGGUGGGCAGAGGCCGCGCUAAGCGGCGGUCCUCGGUGCCCCAAGCUUCCGUCAUUCUGUCCUUAGCGGCAGCGAGUGGAGGCCGUACGACGCGCCGGACCUCGGCAACAGAACCGACCUCCGUUCUACCCUAGGCAGCGCCGAUCGAGACGAGCGGAUUCCGCGCGACGCGGUGCGGGCCGGCACCUGAACCGGCCGUCGUUUUGCCCCGGCAGCGCCGAUCACAGCGAGCGGAGGCCGUGUGGGUUCCGGUCGGGUUCCAACACCGACUGGGCGAGGGACACUCCACCACCGUGCCACCUUGACGUCGCGCACGUCGGCCACCGACUCUAAGGCGCCCUCCAGCGCGGCAGUGUCACCUUCUACGCUUGAGCUACGUUUGAGUUGUUCGUUUCCGCGUUCUUGUAUGGAUGCCUGCUACUUCACCGUCCUCGAGGCAGGUACGACUUCUUGUGGCAUCUACAACUAGGUGUCUCUCCUGUUAAAGGAUAGUUAGAACUAGAUAAGAGGAAACUAGGCCCCCGUUGUUGUUACCUUAUCUAACCAUACUCUUUCCUACCUACUUCAGUGCUUCUCUAAAACCGCCGUUAGACCACAAUCCGCCCUCUAUUUGGACAGCAAAACGACUAAAAAAUCUCGAUUGACGUUAAUCUCUCUAUGCGACCCAACAAAUUCACCACCCCAGGAUGGUCCUGUCCACAGCCGGUGGGCAACCGGGACGUGGUAUUACGCACGACCCUUGGGACGUCCUCUCGGGCUGGGUGUUUUUAAUGUGGUUGUAGGUACCUCAGGCCUUCCCUAACGCCGUUGUCUAGUUCUGCUACGUGCCUGCUUGUUGGUUGGUACUGGUGAUGUUUAUCGGCAGACAGGUUGUUCCUCUCGUAUCGAGCCCGCUAAUAACAAUCCUACACAAACCAUGUUGGUUUCCAUUGCCCUGACCAUUACCUUAGUCCAUCGCCACCCUAGUGUCGCAUUAUCCUCCUAAACGAAAAGACAAACAAAGUACGUACAUUUCCAUAGUUCAAUGUCUCGAUUGUUCUAGACGACACAUUAGUCUAACGUUUUUUUGUUUUUUUAGAGUGUCUUAGCUUCGGUUCUUGUUCGAUUG